RNAcentral lists this ribosomal RNA (465 nucleotides) under uncultured bacterium. RNAcentral's name for it is "partial 16S ribosomal RNA". It matches the Rfam family "Bacterial small subunit ribosomal RNA", at positions 28 to 507 of the family's 1533-position model. The record is from RNAcentral.
GACGAACGCUGGCGGCGUGCUUAACACAUGCAAGUCGUACGGUAAGGCCCUUUCGGGGGUACACGAGUGGCGAACGGGUGAGUAACACGUGAGUAACCUGCCCACAACUUUGGGAUAACGCUAGGAAACUGGUGCUAAUACUGGAUAUGUGCUCCUGCUGCAUGGUGGGGGUUGGAAAGCUCCGGCGGUUGUGGAUGGACUCGCGGCCUAUCAGCUUGUUGGUGGGGUAGUGGCCUACCAAGGCGGCGACGGGUAGCCGGCCUGAGAGGGUGACCGGCCACAUUGGGACUGAGAUACGGCCCAGACGCCUACGGGAGGCAGCAGGGGGGAAUAUUGCACAAUGGGCGCAAGCCUGAUGCAGCAACGCCGCGUGCGGGAUGACGGCCUUCGGGUUGUAAACCGCUUUCAGCAGGGACGAAGCUUUUUGUGACGGUACCUGCAGAAGAAGCACCGGCUAACUACGUG